CUCCAAUAGCGUAUACUAAAGUUGUUGCAGUUAAAAAGCUCGUAGUUGGAUUUCUGGUCGAAGCAGCCGCUCAGCUUCUAGUAAGUUUGUAGCUGGCGCUUCGUCCAUUUUUUGUAAAGGCUGUAUCUGUCAUUAAGUUGGUGGGUACAGAACUUGCAUCAUUUACUGUGAGCAAAAUAGAGUGUUCAAAGCAGGCUUAG
This 200-nucleotide ribosomal RNA is filed under the name uncultured eukaryote. Its description in RNAcentral is "partial 18S ribosomal RNA". It matches the Rfam family "Eukaryotic small subunit ribosomal RNA", at positions 589 to 789 of the family's 1831-position model. The record is from RNAcentral.